This 2242-nucleotide ribosomal RNA is filed under the name Listeria monocytogenes. RNAcentral's name for it is "partial 23S ribosomal RNA". It matches the Rfam family "Bacterial large subunit ribosomal RNA", at positions 691 to 2925 of the family's 2925-position model. Lineage: Bacteria; Bacillati; Bacillota; Bacilli; Caryophanales; Listeriaceae. The record is from RNAcentral.
GGCGCAUAAGUAACAGGUCGUAGACCCGAAACCAGGUGAUCUACCCAUGUCCAGGAUGAAGGUAAGGUAAUACUUACUGGAGGUCCGAACCCACGCACGUUGAAAAGUGCGGGGAUGAGGUGUGGGUAGCGGAGAAAUUCCAAUCGAACUUGGAGAUAGCUGGUUCUCUCCGAAAUAGCUUUAGGGCUAGCCUCGAGGUAAAGAGUCAUGGAGGUAGAGCACUGUUUGGACUAGGGGCCCUUCUCGGGUUACCGAAUUCAGAUAAACUCCGAAUGCCAUGUACUUAUACUCGGGAGUCAGACUGCGAGUGAUAAGAUCCGUAGUCGAAAGGGAAACAGCCCAGACCACCAGUUAAGGUCCCCAAAUAUAUGUUAAGUGGAAAAGGAUGUGGGGUUGCUUAGACAACCAGGAUGUUGGCUUAGAAGCAGCCACCAUUGAAAGAGUGCGUAAUAGCUCACUGGUCGAGUGACCCCGCGCCGAAAAUGUACCGGGGCUAAACAUAUUACCGAAACUGUGGAUGAACCUCUUUAGAGGUUCGUGGUAGGAGAGCGUUCUAAGGGCGGUGAAGUCAGACCGGAAGGACUGGUGGAGCGCUUAGAAGUGAGAAUGCCGGUAUGAGUAGCGAAAGAAGGGUGAGAAUCCCUUCCACCGAAUAUCUAAGGUUUCCUGAGGAAGGCUCGUCCGCUCAGGGUUAGUCGGGACCUAAGCCGAGGCCGAUAGGCGUAGGCGAUGGACAACAGGUAGAGAUUCCUGUACCAGUGCUAAUUGUUUAACCGAUGGGGUGACACAGAAGGAUAGGGAAUCGCACGAAUGGAAAUGUGCGUCCAAGCAGUGAGUGUGAGAAGUAGGCAAAUCCGCUUCUCGCGAAGCAUGAGCUGUGAUGGGGAAGGAAAUUAAGUACGGAAGUUCCUGAUUUCACGCUGUCAAGAAAAGCCUCUAGGAAGAGUAGUACUGCCCGUACCGCAAACCGACACAGGUAGAUGAGGAGAGAAUCCUAAGGUGAGCGAGAGAACUCUCGUUAAGGAACUCGGCAAAAUGACCCCGUAACUUCGGGAGAAGGGGUGCUCUAUUAGGGUGCAAGCCCGAGAGAGCCGCAGUGAAUAGGCCCAGGCGACUGUUUAGCAAAAACACAGGUCUCUGCAAAACCGUAAGGUGACGUAUAGGGGCUGACGCCUGCCCGGUGCUGGAAGGUUAAGAGGAGUGCUUAGCUUCGGCGAAGGUACGAAUUGAAGCCCCAGUAAACGGCGGCCGUAACUAUAACGGUCCUAAGGUAGCGAAAUUCCUUGUCGGGUAAGUUCCGACCCGCACGAAAGGCGCAACGAUCUGGGCACUGUCUCAACGAGAGACUCGGUGAAAUUAUAGUACCUGUGAAGAUGCAGGUUACCCGCGACAGGACGGAAAGACCCCGUGGAGCUUUACUGCAACCUGAUAUGGAAUGUUUGUACCGCUUGUACAGGAUAGGUAGGAGCCGAAGAGACGUGUGCGCUAGCAUACGAGGAGGCAAUGGUGGGAUACUACCCUGGCUGUAUGACCAUUCUAACCCGCCACGCUUAGCGCGUGGGGAGACAGUGUCAGGUGGGCAGUUUGACUGGGGCGGUCGCCUCCUAAAGAGUAACGGAGGCGCCCAAAGGUUCCCUCAGAAUGGAUGGAAAUCAUUCGCAGAGUGUAAAGGCACAAGGGAGCUUGACUGCGAGACUGACAAGUCGAGCAGGGACGAAAGUCGGGCUUAGUGAUCCGGUGGUUCCGCAUGGAAGGGCCAUCGCUCAACGGAUAAAAGCUACCCCGGGGAUAACAGGCUUAUCUCCCCCAAGAGUCCACAUCGACGGGGAGGUUUGGCACCUCGAUGUCGGCUCGUCGCAUCCUGGGGCUGUAGUCGGUCCCAAGGGUUGGGCUGUUCGCCCAUUAAAGCGGCACGCGAGCUGGGUUCAGAACGUCGUGAGACAGUUCGGUCCCUAUCCGUCGCGGGCGCAGGAAAUUUGAGAGGAGCUGUCCUUAGUACGAGAGGACCGGGAUGGACACACCGCUGGUGUACCAGUUGUUCCGCCAGGAGCAUCGCUGGGUAGCUAUGUGUGGCAGGGAUAAACGCUGAAAGCAUCUAAGCGUGAAGCCCCCCUCAAGAUGAGAUUUCCCAUUUCUUCGGAAAGUAAGAUCCCUGAAAGAUGAUCAGGUAGAUAGGUUUGGAGUGGAAGUGUAGCGAUACAUGGAGCGGACAAAUACUAAUCGAUCGAGGACUUAACCAAAA